CUAACCCGGUCACUGCUUCAUCUUGAUGUUCAUAAUGAAGGUCAUCUUCCUUGACACUCUCCAUACUCCUACAGUUGUGUAUCUCAGUGCUGACACACUCCUCUUCAUCUUCCUCUUUAAAACACACUGACCCCAGUUCACAGUCCUCUUCCUUGAUGUCCAGACUCUCCUGUUUGGGGUGGACACUCUCCCACUCACAGUCCUCCUCCUUAACAUUUAUGGUCCUCUCCUCCAUGAUAUUCAGGUCAGCCUCACACAUCUCCUUUUUCACAUCCAUUUAAACGUUACAGUAAAUGGCAGAUUUGUCUCUCU
Long non-coding RNA from Erpetoichthys calabaricus (reedfish), 312 nucleotides. RefSeq lists it as uncharacterized. NCBI's taxonomy places the organism in Eukaryota, Metazoa, Chordata, Cladistia, Polypteriformes, Polypteridae. The transcript is spliced from 3 exons. The record is from RefSeq and is a predicted model, not a curated record.